RNAcentral lists this ribosomal RNA (253 nucleotides) under uncultured bacterium. RNAcentral describes it as "partial 16S ribosomal RNA". It matches the Rfam family "Bacterial small subunit ribosomal RNA", at positions 524 to 776 of the family's 1533-position model. The record is from RNAcentral.
GACGAAGGAUGCAAGUGUUAUCCGGAUUCAUUGGGUUUAAAGGGAGCGUAGGUGGCCUUAUAAGUCAGUGGUGAAAUCUUCGAGCUUAACUCGGAAAUUGCCAUUGAUACUGUAGGGCUUGAGUAUAGUUGCCGUUGGCGGAAUAUGACAUGUAGUGGUGAAAUACAUAGAGAUGUCAUAGAACACCGAUUGCGAAGGCAGCUGACGAAACUAUAACUGACACUGAGGCUCGAAAGUGCGGGGAUCAAACAGG